RNAcentral lists this ribosomal RNA (253 nucleotides) under uncultured bacterium. Its description in RNAcentral is "partial 16S ribosomal RNA". It matches the Rfam family "Bacterial small subunit ribosomal RNA", at positions 524 to 776 of the family's 1533-position model. The record is from RNAcentral.
UACGGAGGAUCCAAGCGUUAUCCGGAAUCAUUGGGUUUAAAGGGUCCGUAGGUGGAUGAUUAAGUCAGGGGUGAAAGUCUGCAGCUCAACUGUAGAAUUGCCCUUGAUACUGGUUAUCUUGAAUCAUUGUGAAGUGGUUAGAAUAUGUAGUGUAGCGGUGAAAUGCAUAGAUAUUACAUGGAAUACCAAUUGCGAAGGCAGGUUACUACUAAUAUAUUGACGCUGAUGGACGAAAGCGUGGGUAGCGAACAGG